AUGGAAUUCUUGUUGUUGGUAUGGACUCUAAACAUGCAAGCGUCAAACAUCAUGACUCUUGAUACUUGCCCUAUAUUUCAUCUUCUUAAGGUUAACAAUAUGUUUUUUUGUAAGGUGCAUAGCAUUUGGAAGGACGAGAACUUGCUCGCAUUUUCCCCCUUGUGCAAAGAAUUUGAUUGGAAUGCAGCUCUGCAUCUUUAUAGCAUAUAUUCAGGAAAACAGAAGGCAUCUGAGUGGCAGAAUGGUUCAUUAAUCCUUGGUAGUGUUUUGCUCUGUUCCUGGAUAGGACAGCUGCACACAGGAGUAGAGGGGUAUUUUCAUCAUUUCGUUUAUUUACCCCUGGGAUAG
Molecule: ribosomal RNA, 348 nt
Filed under: Triticum aestivum (bread wheat)
Lineage: Eukaryota; Viridiplantae; Streptophyta; Magnoliopsida; Poales; Poaceae
Description: partial small subunit ribosomal RNA
Source: RNAcentral